UAAACUUUCCCCCAUAAAGCUAGGGCACAGUCUUCCACAAAGAUACAGAGUUCCCGGGACUGAAGGGGAGAGCUGAUGUUUUCUCUUUUCUAGUGGUGUCCUAAUGAUACCCCAGGUACAGCAUCUCCGGUGGGCGAGUGAUUCAGCUGGGCUCUCUGGGCCUGCUUCUCUCAGUAGCUCAGCUCCCAAGUGAUAAAGCGAAUUCUUCUUGAAUUACUGGUUAAAUCUCUUCUGUGCUGCCAGAGGGGAUGGGCCAAUGAAGACCCAGCCUUUGGAGCACCUGCAAAAGACCCACAUGGAUGCUUGGGGAAUUUUGAAAAUACAUUUGAUGAUAUCGCUUCCAGCCCAAUCUCCCAUUUGGGAUGUGGAGAACCUCUGGCGCAAAGAGAAACAACCUUCCCUUUGACCUCAGGUCUUCCAUCUUCUGCUGAGCCUGUCCCUUGAGGGAAGAGGAAGAGGAAAGUUGGCCCUGCCCAGCCAGAAGUGUGAAAUUAUGAGCAAAGAGUGAAGGAUGGGCAGAGGGCAUGGCUGUGAGCAGAGAAGAGUAAGAAGCCGACAGUGACAUCUAAUGCAAAAUUAAUUUCAUUGUCACAUGAGGUCCUGUUCCUGAAUUUCUGGAUUCCAAACUAUGCCUUCUCUACUGCUGACUUGUUUUGGAGCGUCUCUCAAAGCCUGGGACCUCCUUGCCCUGGAACAGUCUACCUUCCCUCUGGCCCAGUCACCUUGGAACACCCUCUGCAAGGCCAACCCCUUCCUCCCAUUGGUGAGCUCCUCUAGGAGCCUCCAUUUUAUGGAAGGGCCCAUGCCAGCCUGCCUUCAUUCUUCUGUUCGUGAUUUUCUGGAUUUCAAAACCAUGUCCCCUCACCGGGCCCUUUCCUCUCCUCUCCUUCUCCCCACUAGAAUGAAUCCAUCAUCAGAGACUAUGCUGAAGACUCAAACAAUGGCAGUCUAAAUUGUCCUGCAGUGAUGCUAAGUAGCUGGAACUAAUUCAGAAAUGUAUGUGGAGCAUGAUUAGGGUAACUUAGUGUGUGGGGGAGACCAUCUCACCUGACUCUGUCAUUUCUCAACCCACAACAAAUGCUGUUUGGCCCAAAAUGACAUAGAAAAUAAAGUAACCUCGUUAUAAAUUACACCUA
Molecule: long non-coding RNA, 1136 nt
Organism: Phascolarctos cinereus (koala)
Lineage: Eukaryota; Metazoa; Chordata; Mammalia; Diprotodontia; Phascolarctidae
Source: RefSeq, a predicted model, not a curated record